GGGUCAAUGAUAUGAGGACUUUAUAUUGUCUUGAGGAGUGGUGAUGACUUAAAUAUCGUAUACAAUGGCAUGAUGCUGAGGCCC
Molecule: small nucleolar RNA, 84 nt
Filed under: Carlito syrichta (Philippine tarsier)
Lineage: Eukaryota; Metazoa; Chordata; Mammalia; Primates; Tarsiidae
Description: Small nucleolar RNA SNORD115 (ENSTSYG00000034631.1)
Rfam family: Small nucleolar RNA SNORD115
About the family: HBII-52 is a member of the C/D class of snoRNAs, which contain the C (UGAUGA) and D (CUGA) box motifs.
Source: Rfam by way of RNAcentral